AACGAACGCUGGCGGCAUGCCUAACACAUGCAAGUCGAACGAGACCUUCGGGUCUAGUGGCGCACGGGUGCGUAACGCGUGGGAACCUGCCCUUAGGUUCGGAAUAACUCCCCGAAAGGGGUGCUAAUACCGGAUAAUGUCUUCGGACCAAAGAUUUAUCGCCUUUGGAUGGGCCCGCGUUGGAUUAGCUAGUUGGUAGGGUAAAAGCCUACUAAGGCGACGAUCCAUAGCUGGUCUGAGAGGAUGAUCAGCCACACUGGGACUGAGACACGGCCCAGACUCCUACGGGAGGCAGCAGUGGGGAAUAUUGGACAAUGGGCGAAAGCCUGAUCCAGCAAUGCCGGGUGAGUGAUGAAGGCCUUAGGGUUGUAAAGCUCUUUUACCCGGGAUGAUAAUGACAGUACCGGGAGAAUAAGCUCCGGCUAACUCCGUG
RNAcentral lists this ribosomal RNA (433 nucleotides) under uncultured bacterium. RNAcentral's name for it is "partial 16S ribosomal RNA". It matches the Rfam family "Bacterial small subunit ribosomal RNA", at positions 29 to 507 of the family's 1533-position model. The record is from RNAcentral.